Long non-coding RNA from Carassius gibelio (silver crucian carp), 3045 nucleotides. RefSeq lists it as uncharacterized. The record is from RefSeq and is a predicted model, not a curated record. Lineage: Eukaryota; Metazoa; Chordata; Actinopteri; Cypriniformes; Cyprinidae. The transcript is spliced from 6 exons.
UUGGGUAUGAAUCACUCUUGUGAAGAAGAAAUGCCAAAGGCAUGUUAAGAGAAGAUCAUAUCCUCUGGGUGUCUUCUAGAGUUACAUGCAUUUAUAUAUUGGCAUGAGAGCCAGGUUUAAAUAACUGCUGGCUAUACUGAACAUGACACAACAACAGUGCCACUAGUUUACAAAUCUGUUUUAAUGCUGGCCAUCUGUGUUGGUUAAAAUUUGUUUUUCUUUAUGGACUGAUUUUUUUAAUCAGUAACUUGUAACUUUUAAACGGAAACUUAGACAAUUUUUCAUUUUAGAUCACUCUUUUUGAUUCUGAGGACCUUCAAGAGGCAGAUGCUGCGAUCCCGAUUACAUCACUUAGAGGUAUGUAAUAAUGUUAUCAUGUGAAUUAAAUGUUGAAUUCAUUAAAAUACAGGUACCAGAGCUUCCCCUGAGGAGCAGCUAAAUAUCACGUUGGCCUGGGACAGAGCUGAUGUAGCGAAGGACAACAUUCUGGUGUACGGGCAACAGUGGCAGGUCCAGUUGUGAUUUUACAGCCAGGAAUCAUGUAUUUAGGAGUUAGAACAGAUGUGUAUAAUCCAGUGCCGGAUUUGGUAGAUGGGAUCUCUGGAGCAAACCAUGUUGGAUGCAUUGUUAAUGGAUGGUGUCAGUUUUGUGAAGCUGCUGAUUGAGAAGGCAUGACCACGAGCCGCUUCUUGACCAUUUCUCGUCUGGAACAGCUCUACAACAGAUUAAUUCCCAUUUACAGCUUACAUGAAGCUUUUGUAUCUGAUAUAAGCACAUAUCUCUGAUCCUUCUUAUUAUAAGUAGACUACAUCUGUAUUUUAUAGCUUUAGGCUCCUCAGAUCAUUUCCUUCGACACAUCAUUGAGGAUGACAGGCAGGUUAGUAUAGAGCACAACCUUGAAGCUAUUUCUGUUCUUCAUUGGGUGGGAGUCAACAGGGAGUCAGACAAUUAUUGUUAGAAUUUUUGUGGGAAAAUUGACAUAAUUUACUAACUUAAUUAGCACCAAAUCAGCAUAUUAGAAUGAUUUCUAAUGGAUCACAUGACACUGAAGAAUAGACUUAUUCUCAAAGAAAGAAACUGUCUUUUAAUACACACAAACACACACACAAACACACACACAUACACACACACAUAUAUUUAUAUAUAUAAACAGUCAUUUGUGUUCCUGUAGCUCAAUUGGUAGAGGAUUGCGCUAUAAAACUAUGACUUUGUUCAUCAUUGUCUUCUCUUCCGUGUCUGUUGUGAGAGAGAGUCAAAACAAAGUAGUUUGUGAUAUCCGGUUCGCGAACAAAUCACUCGAUGUAACCGGAUCUUCUUGAACCAGUUUACCAAAUCAAACUAAAUCGUUUGAAACGGUUUGCGUCUCCAAUACACAUUAAUCCACAAAUGACUUAAGCUGUUAACUUUUUUAAUGUGUCUGGUUUGUUUGAACUUAGAGGAAGUGUCAAUCUCCCGGAGUGAUACAUGUAUUCAAACAGUACACUGACUGAACUGCUGUGAAGAGAGAACUGAACACCGAGAUGAACACCGAGCUGAGCCAGAUAACGCCUCGUUCUGGUUCAAGAAGAUCUGCAAGAAGAUGCUCAUCAUGUUGCACAGAUGAGCAACAUGUUUUAUAUCGUAGUCAUUAUGGUGAUUGUGCUGGUCAGUUUUGGCACGUCCAGGAAGUCUAUUCUGUCACCUAAAUGAGGAUCUGUCCUGGAGUCUUGUCAGAGAUGUAGUCUUUCAGCCCUACUGGAUGAUCUUUGUGGAGGUGCAUGAUGGAGAGAUUGAUGGUGAGUGAGACAAAAGGACACCAUUCAGUCUGGUCAGUUCAUCUGAUUUGAAUAAACCUUUUCCCAUAGCUUCUAUUUCUUGGUUGUCAGGUUAUGGUCCACUCUUCAUGUCUUGUAUACAAUCUUCUCUAUUAUUACUAUUAUCUAUUAACAUUUGUAAGAUAUUUUAUGAUAUAUCCUAUUGUGAUCAUCCCUUUUUGUAUUGACAGCCUGUAGUAAUCCUGAAACCUGUGUCCCUGGAGCAUUCCUCAACCCGUUCCUGCAGGCCGUCUACCUUCUUGUUCAGUACAUUAUCAUGGUCAAUGUACUCAUUGCAUUAUUCAACAAUGUUUACUUUGAUAUGAGCUCCAUAUCCCGUAAGCUGUGGAAAUACAACAGCUAUUGUUACAUCAUGACAUAUCAGGAGAAGCCGUGGCUGCCGCCCCCUCUCAUUCUCCUCAGUCACAUGACUCUGUCACAGCUCAAUGUGGCACAAGCACAGAAAGGCGUCCAAAUGGGGAAGAAUUGGUCUGAGAAAAACAACAAUAACACAGGAGAGGAGAUCUCACCUUCCUCUGGUCUGGAAGAAGCAAUACUAGCGUUCUCUCACUGGACAUAAGAGUAUACCAACAGGGAACUGCUAGUGUUGGAUCUACAAGGUGUGAGAGCAGACCUCAUAGACCCCUCACUGAUCAGAGCUGAUGAUAAAAGGUAACGUUUUCUCCAGUUGUAGGUCCUCUGGAGAGAUGGCGUUUGGACCUGCCAGUUUGGGUGGUGAUGCAAUCCAGAGCUUUGUUAUCAAGCACACCUGCAACUCCUGCUGCAAGAAGCUCGGUCUCUCAGCUGAGAUUUGAGGAGUUGUGGCAGCCAAAGGAAGUCAGUUCCUGCCUUUGAGAUGAGCAGCGCAAUUUAACCUCUGACCUGGAAGUAGACGUUACCAGAAGCCACACCUCAGGGGACUUCAGCUUAUUCACUUCAUAUUUCAUUCUCUGAUCUCUAUUUGGAGUUUUCACAGACUGAAUAUAUAUGUAUAUAUAUAUACAAUUUUAAAGAGCUGCUCAAGGUGAAAAAACAGUUACUUUUGCGUGGGUCAUAGCUGAUUUGUUUUUGUACAACAGAUAAGGGAACUCAUGUUUCAGUGAUCACAUUUUUCCAUUUCACUUUUAUUUUCUUUAAUUAGUUUAUAUCUGUCUGUACCUUUUGAAGUUUUAAUGGUUUAAUGUUAAACUCCCCAUGAAUGCAAAAUAUAAUUUGGGAUUUUUGUCAUUUUUAAGUAAAAAAUAAAAUACAA